GACGAACGCUGGCGGCGUGCCUAAUACAUGCAAGUAGAACGCUGAAGAGAGGAGCUUGCUCUUCUUGGAUGAGUUGCGAACGGGUGAGUAAAGCGUAGGUAACCUGCCUUGUAGCGGGGGAUAACUAUUGGAAACGAUAGCUAAUACCGCAUAACAAUGGAUGAAACAUGUCAUUUAUUUGAAAGGGGCAAUUGCUCCACUACAAGAUGGACCUGCGUUGUAUUAGCUAGUAGGUGAGGUAAUGGCUCACCUAGGCGACGAUACAUAGCCGACCUGGGAGGGUGGACGGCCAAACCGGGACUGAGGCACCGCCCAGGCUCCUACGGGAAGCAGCAGUAGGGAAACAUCGGCAAAGGGGGCAACGCUGACCGAGCAACGCCGCGGGGGUGAAGAAGGGUUUCGGAGCGGAAAACUCUGUUGUGAGUCAAGAACGGGAGUGAGAGUAGAAAGUUCACACUGUGACGGUAGCUUACCAGAAAGAGACGGCUAACUACGUG
RNAcentral lists this ribosomal RNA (497 nucleotides) under uncultured bacterium. RNAcentral's name for it is "partial 16S ribosomal RNA". It matches the Rfam family "Bacterial small subunit ribosomal RNA", at positions 28 to 507 of the family's 1533-position model. The record is from RNAcentral.